GGCUCAGUCGGUAGAGCGUCGCCUUGGUAAGGCGGAGGUCACCAGUUCGAUUCUGGUCAUCA
RNAcentral lists this transfer RNA (62 nucleotides) under Lachnospiraceae bacterium. RNAcentral's name for it is "tRNA-Thr". It matches the Rfam family "tRNA", at positions 9 to 67 of the family's 71-position model. From Rfam's summary of the family: Transfer RNA (tRNA) molecules are approximately 80 nucleotides in length. Their secondary structure includes four short double-helical elements and three loops (D, anti-codon, and T loops). The record is from RNAcentral. Lineage: Bacteria; Bacillati; Bacillota; Clostridia; Lachnospirales; Lachnospiraceae.